AGAGUUUGAUCAUGGCUCAGGAUGAACGCUGGCGGUAUGCUUAACACAUGCAAGUCGAACGGAAUCUUUCGGGAUUUAGUGGCGGACGGGUGAGUAACGCGUGAGAAUCUGCCUUCAGGUUCGGGACAACAGUUGGAAACGGCUGCUAAUACCGGAUGUGCCGAGAGGUGAAAGCUUAAGUGCCUGGAGAUGAGCUCGCGUCUGAUUAGCUAGUAGGAGUGGUAACGGCACCCCUAGGCGACGAUCAGUAGCUGGUCUGAGAGGAUGAUCAGCCACACUGGGACUGAGACACGGCCCAGACUCCUACGGGAGGCAGCAGUGGGGAAUUUUCCGCAAUGGGCGCAAGCCUGACGGAGCAAGACCGCGUGAGGGAAGAAGGUCUGUGGAUUGUAAACCUCUUUUGAUCGGGAAGAAGACAGUGACGGUACCGAUCGAAUCAGCUCGACCCGGCC
Molecule: ribosomal RNA, 452 nt
Filed under: uncultured cyanobacterium
Lineage: Bacteria; Bacillati; Cyanobacteriota
Description: bacterial SSU rRNA
Rfam family: Bacterial small subunit ribosomal RNA
Source: RNAcentral